Molecule: ribosomal RNA, 380 nt
Filed under: uncultured Calochaete sp.
Lineage: Bacteria; Bacillati; Cyanobacteriota; Cyanophyceae; Nostocales; Fortieaceae
Description: bacterial SSU rRNA
Rfam family: Bacterial small subunit ribosomal RNA
Source: RNAcentral
CGAAAGCCUGACGGAGCCAGACCGCGUGAGGGAAGAAGGCUCUAGGGUUGUAAACCUCUUUUAUCAGGGAAGAAGAAAGUGACGGUACCUGAAGAAAAAGCCUCGGCUAACUCCGUGCCAGCAGCCGCGGUAAGACGGAGGAGGCAAGCGUUAUCCGGAAUGAUUGGGCGUAAAGCGUCCGCAGGUGGCGAUGUAAGUCUGCUGUUAAAGAGUGAGGCUCAACCUCAUAAGAGCAGUGGAAACUACAUGGCUAGAGUACGGUCGGGGUAGAAGGAAUUCCUGGUGUAGCGGUGAAAUGCGUAGAGAUCAGGAAGAACACCGGUGGCGAAAGCGUUCUGCUAGGCCUGUACUGACACUGAGGGACGAAAGCUAGGGGAGCG